This 458-nucleotide unclassified non-coding RNA is filed under the name Eurytemora carolleeae. Its description in RNAcentral is "histidine-rich glycoprotein". Lineage: Eukaryota; Metazoa; Arthropoda; Copepoda; Calanoida; Temoridae. The record is from RNAcentral.
AGAAAAUUGGAAAAUUACAGUUUGAGACGAUUAGUCAGUUCUGGGAACGUUAAUUAAUUUGAGUUAGUUGAUGUUUUGUAUCCUGAAUAUACUCUUGAUUGUGGAAGCUAUGAAGCAUAGACCAACCUUCCACUCUCAUCACUAUCAUGGUUGGGGGGAACAGGAGCAUCAUCAACCAGAUCAUCAUAAAGGAAAUCAUCGAGGAGAAAAACAUCAUAAAGGUCAACACCAUGGACAGCAUCAUCACCGGGGUCUACAUCAUGAUGCACAUCAUGGACAAUUUCAUCAUGAUGGACAGCACCAUGGAGAAUAUCAUCAUGAAGGAGAACAUCCUGGCUCCCAUACUCAUCAUAACGGAGAACUUGAAUAUUUACAUUUCUACGGUUAAGCUUGAAUCCGAGCCUGGGCAAAAAUUAUAAAGAUUUAGAUUUGUAUCGAGAUUAAAUUGUUGAUUUCAA